CUCCUACUUGUCUUGUUUCUCCGUGAGGUCUCUAAACUAACUUCAAGUAUUUGAAGAACUUACUACAUUUUUCCCUAAAAUCUUCCAAAAAAAACACCCCAUCUUUCUUUUGUCUGUGAUUCAUGUAACUAGCAACGCUUCAACAAUUCACAGUGAUCAUUUAAAUGGUAAUAUGGAGACAUGGUUAGGUUUUAUACCCUCUGCUCAUCAGGAUAAUGUAUAGAGACUUGCUGAACUGAGAUAUGAAGAUGGCCUAAUCAUCAAAUAUGGAUUCAGGUCUCCCCUGCUGAGCAGGACAGACAGACGGACUACGCAAGGCCCAACCCCUGUCCUUCCCGCAAACAGAGGCUGGAGAAACCACACGUCCCCUUUCCAGGUAGGGAUUGCUGCUGGCUGCCUUGGCUUUGUUUCCCACUUUCACCGCAGCAGUGGCAGUGGGAGGCCUUAUCUCGGCCUCCCAGCACUUCCCCCGGCAUGCGUGUGGGAGCCGGCAUGCCACAAACUUCCAGCAGCGGCUGGGCCGACAGGAAGGCUCUCUCGCCUCGUGCCCGAACGCCUGAGCUGCGUCCCGCCGGCCGUAGAAUUGCAAUCUGGCAGCUGCAGGGAUUUCCCGUUGCUUCCCUCCAUCUCUUCCUGCGAGGCCUGCUGUGGGGCCGGCAGCGGCCGUCAGGCCUCAGGAAGCUGUGAGCGGCGGCAGGCGGGCAGGUGGGGGCGAGGAGGUGAUGGUGGCCAAAACCCAUUUGUUUGGUGGCCGUCGCACCGACACGCGCUGGUUGGGCCAGGGGAAAACAAAAGGGGGAUGUCUGCUUCAAAAAGGCAGGAAAUGAAGCAGCACGGGGGACGAGAGAUCUAUUGGGACUGGGUUGGGGCUUUUCUUUCUUAACCUAUUGUUUCAUGAUAUUAUAAUGCAAAAAAAAAAAAAAAAAAAAAAGUAAAGGGGGAAAUAGAGAGAAAAAAAAAAAAAAAAAGAAAUUGAACACAUCCUGUGACCUCUUAUCAAGCCAUCAGGAAUAAAAACAAACAGCUCAUUCA
Molecule: long non-coding RNA, 1032 nt
Filed under: Coturnix japonica (Japanese quail)
Lineage: Eukaryota; Metazoa; Chordata; Aves; Galliformes; Phasianidae
Description: lncRNA (ENSCJPG00005020613.1)
Source: RNAcentral